This 253-nucleotide ribosomal RNA is filed under the name uncultured bacterium. RNAcentral's name for it is "partial 16S ribosomal RNA". It matches the Rfam family "Bacterial small subunit ribosomal RNA", at positions 524 to 776 of the family's 1533-position model. The record is from RNAcentral.
UACGUAGGGGGCAAGCGUUGUCCGGAAUCAUUGGGCGUAAAGCGCGCGUAGGCGGCCCGGUAAGUCCGCUGUGAAAGUCAAAGGCUCAACCUUUGAAUGUCAGCGGAUACUGCUGGGCUAGAGUCCGGAAGAGGCGAGUGGAACUCCUGGUGUAGCGGUGGAAUGCGCAGAUAUCAGGAAGAACACCAACGGCGAAGGCAGCUCGCUGGGACGGAACUGACGCUAAGGCGCGAAAGCGUGGGGAGCGAACAGG